CUAAGAAUAUUCCGCAAUGGACGAAAGUCUGACGGAGCGACGCCGCGUGGAUGAAGAAGGCCGAAAGGUUGUAAAGUUCUUUUGUUGGGGAAGAAUAACCAUGGGAGGGAAUGCCCGUGGGAUGACAUGAACCGACGAAUAAGCCCCGGCUAACUACGUGCCAGCAGCCGCGGUAACACGUAGGGGGCGAGCGUUGUUCGGAAUUACUGGGCGUAAAGGGCAUGUAGGCGGUCUUGUAAGCUUGGCGUGAAAGACCACGGCUCAACCGUGGGAUUGCGUUGAGAACUGCGAGGCUUGAGUGACGGAGAGGGAGCUAGAAUUCCUGGUGUAGGGGUGGAAUCUGUAGAGAUCAGGAAGAAUACCAAUGGCGAAGGCAAGCUCCUGGCCGAUGACUGACGCU
This 400-nucleotide ribosomal RNA is filed under the name uncultured bacterium. RNAcentral describes it as "bacterial SSU rRNA". It matches the Rfam family "Bacterial small subunit ribosomal RNA", at positions 355 to 747 of the family's 1533-position model. The record is from RNAcentral.